UACAGAGGGGGCAAGCGCUGUUCGGAAUUACUGGGCGUAAAGGGCGCGUAGGCGGCCUUCUAAGUCGAACGUGAAAUCCCCGGGCUCAACCCGGGAACUGCGUCCGAUACUGGAAGGCUUGAAUCCGGGAGAGGGAUGCGGAAUUCCAGGUGUAGCGGUGAAAUGCGUAGAUAUCUGGAGGAACACCGGUGGCGAAGGCGGCAUCCUGGACCGGUAUUGACGCUGAGGCGCGAAAGCCAGGGGAGCAAACGGG
RNAcentral lists this ribosomal RNA (253 nucleotides) under uncultured bacterium. RNAcentral's name for it is "partial 16S ribosomal RNA". It matches the Rfam family "Bacterial small subunit ribosomal RNA", at positions 524 to 776 of the family's 1533-position model. The record is from RNAcentral.